UAUUCUCAACCCCUCCAGCUUUUGUGGCUGGUUUUGGUGGCUUGGAUGUGGAGGUCUGCAGGUGCCCCUAUGAUGGGGUGUCUGCUCCUCUAAAAUGCAUUAGCGGAACCAUUUGCAAUCCGUUGACCGGUGUGAUAAUUAUCUACACCAGUGGGACUGCUCUCUGCUUGUUCAGCUCAUAACAUAAUGUUAUUAUUAUUAUGAUGAACCU
Molecule: unclassified non-coding RNA, 211 nt
Filed under: uncultured Agaricaceae
Lineage: Eukaryota; Fungi; Basidiomycota; Agaricomycetes; Agaricales; Agaricaceae
Description: sequence contains ITS2
Source: RNAcentral